GGGAGGUUUGUGUAGGUGUAGAAAAGUGAGGGGUGGUUUAUGUAAUUUCACUAAAACUCAGUGGUGUCAGUGUAAUUUACUCUAAAAACAACAACACAAAGAAUCAAUAGAGCAAAUCAUUUAAUAUAUGAAUAAAUACGAUGACAACUCUCCAAAAUAGAUUAUAAUAGAACCCAAAGAAAAACCUAUAUAAUUGUUG
RNAcentral lists this long non-coding RNA (199 nucleotides) under Lupinus angustifolius (narrow-leaved blue lupine). RNAcentral's name for it is "long non-coding RNA (LANG_LNC003688)". Lineage: Eukaryota; Viridiplantae; Streptophyta; Magnoliopsida; Fabales; Fabaceae. The record is from RNAcentral.